Molecule: ribosomal RNA, 437 nt
Filed under: uncultured Oscillospiraceae bacterium
Lineage: Bacteria; Bacillati; Bacillota; Clostridia; Eubacteriales; Oscillospiraceae
Description: bacterial SSU rRNA
Rfam family: Bacterial small subunit ribosomal RNA
Source: RNAcentral
ACGGAAGGCAGCAGUGGGGGAUAUUGCGCAAUGGGGGGAACCCUGACGCAGCAACGCCGCGUGAAGGAAGAAGGUCUUCGGAUUGUAAACUUCUUUUAUGAGGGACGAAGGAAGUGACGGUACCUCAUGAAUAAGCCACGGCUAACUACGUGCCAGCAGCCGCGGUAAUACGUAGGUGGCAAGCGUUAUCCGGAUUUACUGGGUGUAAAGGGCGCGUAGGCGGGGAUGCAAGUCAGAUGUGAAAUCCAUGGGCUCAACUCAUGAACUGCAUUUGAAACUGUAUCUCUUGAGUGCUGGAGAGGUAGAUGGAAUUCCUUGUGUAGCGGUGAAAUGCGUAGAUAUAAGGAAGAACACCAGUGGCGAAGGCGAUCUACUGGACAGUAACUGACGCUGAGGCGCGAAAGCGUGGGGAGCAAACAGGAUUAGAUACCCUGGUA